Molecule: long non-coding RNA, 461 nt
Filed under: Glycine max (soybean)
Lineage: Eukaryota; Viridiplantae; Streptophyta; Magnoliopsida; Fabales; Fabaceae
Description: long non-coding RNA (GMAX_LNC000656)
Source: RNAcentral
AUAAGUUCAUGGUAUAUAUUAAUAUAUAGAUUAUGCAAAAGUUAAUUAAUGAAUGCUAAUUCAACGCUAACGAGAGAACAUGACCCAAUCAAUUGAUCAUGAUACUAAAGUGAAUAAGCAUAAACAUCAUCUUCCGACGCCUCGAAGAAACAAACUAAAGAGAGAAAUGAAAUCUAAUCCUAAUUCCUGCAGAUUCCAAAAGCUUGGAUAAAAAGAACCCACAUAGGAUUCCAAUGGAUAAAUACAAGAACAAAUCUGAAGCUGGACAUGCAUAGUCGCAAAGAUCUAAUUCGUGAUGGGUCCUAUUUCCUACACGCCUAAGGUUUGGUUCAUGGAAUGGUUUUUGGGUGGUAUGGUUUGCUACUACGUACGGUAGUAGCCCACGCAUAUGCAUGUAUAUUGUAUAGCCCCUAAAGUAAGUGAACCUUACUUAUUUUAGUCAACGAAAUGGGUAAAAUGGG